AACGCGAAGAACCUUACCUGGACUCGAAAUGCAGUCGACUGCCUCAGAGAUGAGGUUUUCCCGCAAGGGACGGCUAUAUAGGUGCUGCAUGGCUGUCGUCAGCUCGUGUCGUGAGAUGUUGGGUUAAGUCCCGCAACGAGCGCAACCCUUAUCUCCAGUUGCCAUCAUUCAGUUGGGCACUCUGGCGAAACCGCCUCGGAUAACGGGGAGGAAGGUGGGGAUGACGUCAAGUCCUCAUGGCCUUUAUGUCCAGGGCUACACACGUGCUACAAUGGCCGGUAUAAACCGCUGCAAACCCGCGAGGGGGAGCUAAUCGGAAAAAGCCGGCCUCAGUUCGGAUCGCAGUCUGCAACUCGACUGCGUGAAGCUGGAAUCGCUAGUAAUCGCAGAUCAGAAUGCUGCGGUGAAUACGUUCCCGGGCCUUGUACACACCGAGACGAC
Molecule: ribosomal RNA, 441 nt
Filed under: uncultured bacterium
Lineage: Bacteria
Description: bacterial SSU rRNA
Rfam family: Bacterial small subunit ribosomal RNA
Source: RNAcentral